UACGUAGGAUGCAAGCGUUACCCGGAAUUAUUGGGCGUAAAGAGCGUGUAGGCGGCCGGUCGCAUCCUCUGUUAAAUCUCCAGGCUCAACCUGGAACUCGCAGAGGAGAUGGAUCGGCUAGAGGUCGCAAGAGGGCACUGGAAUUCCCGGUGGAGCAGUGAAAUGCGUAGAUAUCGGGAGGAACACCAAUGGCGAAGGCAGGUGCCUGGGGCGAAUCUGACGCUGAGACGCGAAAGCGUGGGGAGCGAACGGG
Molecule: ribosomal RNA, 253 nt
Filed under: uncultured bacterium
Lineage: Bacteria
Description: partial 16S ribosomal RNA
Rfam family: Bacterial small subunit ribosomal RNA
Source: RNAcentral